Molecule: long non-coding RNA, 2018 nt
Organism: Lates calcarifer (barramundi perch)
Lineage: Eukaryota; Metazoa; Chordata; Actinopteri; Centropomidae
Exons: 6
Source: RefSeq, a predicted model, not a curated record
CUCAGCUGGCCAAUUGGCGUCUUUUCUACAGUUGUUGGCUUACGUGUGUUGUCAUUGGCUACGUCCUGUGUCGUCAUUUGCUGCGACGUGACUCGUCAUUGGCGAAAUCCUCUGGGAGGAGCGCAGAGAGGCGGGGAAACGAAGUCGGAAAACAUAUUUAAACCAACAUUUGAACUGUUUCUUCGGUUUGUCAGUACUGUGAGACAACUUAAUUACCGAGGAAGCCUGGAUGCUAAAACAAGCCCCGGAGCUGCUCUUUUGUCGAACACGAGUGAGACUGGUCGCUGAACACACCUGCGGCAGGAAGGUUUACUUGUUGUUACUUGUUGCUACUGCAGCCUGGACAGACACCAACAGGUGUCACCACUUUGUCCACGACAUCGUCCAUGAUCGGAGAGACAUUGUUGAGGAUGAGGGAGACAUCGUCCAUGAUCAGAGACAUUGUCCAUGGUCGCAGAGACCUUGUCAAAGAUGAGAGAGACAUUGUCCAUGAUCAGAGACAUUGUCCCAUGCUUCGUAGAGACCUUGCGAUAGAAUCGGCGGAGACGGGGGUCACCGAUUUGACGGCAUUGCCCGCGAUCAUGGAGACAUUGUCGAUGAUCACAGAGACAGCGUCUAUGAUCUCAGAGACAUCAUCCAUGAUCACAAAGACAUUGUCCAUGAUCACAGAGACUUUGUCCAUAAUCUCAGAGACAUUGUCCGCGAUCACAGAGACGUAGUUCAAGAUCACAGUCUUCGUACAAUGAAGAAAUUCUUUAAGACCAGGACAGAGGCCUCCAGGUGUCACCACUUUGUCCACGACAUCGUCCACGAUCGCAGAGACUUCGUCCAUGAUCGGAGAGACAUUGUUGAGGAUGAGGGAGACAUCGUCCAUGAUCAGAGACAUUGUCCAUGGUCGCAGAGACCUUGUCAAAGAUGAGAGAGACAUUGUCCAUGAUCAGAGACAUUGUCCCAUGCUUCGUAGAGACCUUGCGAUAGAAUCGGCGGAGACGGGGGUCACCGAUUUGACGGCAUUGCCCGCGAUCAUGGAGACAUUGUCGAUGAUCACAGAGACAGCGUCUAUGAUCUCAGAGACAUCAUCCAUGAUCACAAAGACAUUGUCCAUGAUCACAGAGACUUUGUCCAUAAUCUCAGAGACAUUGUCCGCGAUCACAGAGACGUAGUUCAAGAUCACAGUCUUCGUACAAUGAAGAAAUUCUUUAAGACCAGGACAGAGGCCUCCAGGUGUCACCACUUUGUCCACGACAUCGUCCACGAUCGCAGAGACUUCGUCCAUGAUCGGAGAGACAUUGUUGAGGAUGAGGGAGACAUCGUCCAUGAUCAGAGACAUUGUCCAUGAUCGCAGAGACCUUGUCAAAGAUGAGAGAGACGUUGUCCAUGAUCAGAGACAUUGUCCCAUGCUUCGUAGAGACCUUGCGAUAGAAUCGGCGGAGACGGGGGUCACCGAUUUGACGGCAUUGCCCGCGAUCAUGGAGACAUUGUCGAUGAUCACAGAGACAGCGUCUAUGAUCUCAGAGACAUCAUCCAUGAUCACAAAGACAUUGUCCAUGAUCACAGAGACUUUGUCCAUAAUCUCAGAGACAUUGUCCGCGAUCACAGAGACGUAGUUCAAGAUCACAGUCUUCGUACAAUGAAGAAAUUCUUUAAGACCAGGACAGAGGCCUCCAGGUGUCACCACUUUGUCCACGACAUCGUCCACGAUCGCAGAGACUUCGUCCAUGAUCGGAGAGACAUUGUUGAGGAUGAGGGAGACAUCGUCCAUGAUCAGAGACAUUGUCCAUGAUCGCAGAGACCUUGUCAAAGAUGAGAGAGACGUUGUCCAUGAUCAGAGACAUUGUCCCAUGCUUCGUAGAGACCUUGCGAUAGAAUCGGCGGAGACGGGGGUCACCGAUUUGACGGCAUUGCCCGCGAUCAUGGAGACAUUGUCGAUGAUCACAGAGACAGCGUCUAUGAUCUCAGAGACAUCGUCCAUGAUCACAAAGACAUUGUCCAUGAUCACAGAGACUUUGUCCAUAAUC